AACCAUUCUCACCUGCGGCUAGACCUGCGGAAGGAUCAUUACAGAGUUGCAAGACUCCCUAAACCAUUGUGAACCUACCUUCUACCGUUGCUUCGGCGGGCGGGCCCAGCGCCCCCCCCGGCCCCCCGCGGGCGCCCGCCGGAGGAUACCCAAACUCUUGACAUUAGUGGCCUCUCUGAGUAUUCUUUACUGAAUAAGUCAAAACUUUCAGCAACGGAUCU
Molecule: unclassified non-coding RNA, 221 nt
Filed under: soil metagenome
Description: partial contains 5.8S ribosomal RNA, internal transcribed spacer 2, and large subunit ribosomal RNA
Source: RNAcentral